AAUAUUGGACAAUGGGCGAAAGCCUGAUCCAGCCAUUCCGCGUGUGUGAAGAAGGUGUUCGGUUUGUAAAGCACUUUAAGUUGGGAGGGAGUGUAGUAAGUUAAUACCUUGUUGUUUUGACGUUACCUACAGAAUAAUCACCGGCUAACUUCGUUACAGCAGCCGCGGUAAUACGAAGGGUGCAAGCGUUAACCGGAAUUACUGGGCGGAAAGCGCGCGUAGGUGGUUCGUUUAGUUGGAUGUGGAAGCCCCGGGCUCAACCUGGGAACUGCAACCAAAACUGGCGAGCUAGAGAACGGUAGAGGGUGGUAGAAUUUCCUGUGUAGCGGUUAAAUGCGUAGAUAUAGGAAGGAACACCAGUGGCGAAGGCGACCACCUGGACUGAUACUGACACUGAGGUGCGAAAGCGUGGGGAGCAAACAGG
Molecule: ribosomal RNA, 424 nt
Filed under: uncultured bacterium
Lineage: Bacteria
Description: partial 16S ribosomal RNA
Rfam family: Bacterial small subunit ribosomal RNA
Source: RNAcentral